This 253-nucleotide ribosomal RNA is filed under the name uncultured bacterium. Its description in RNAcentral is "partial 16S ribosomal RNA". It matches the Rfam family "Bacterial small subunit ribosomal RNA", at positions 524 to 776 of the family's 1533-position model. The record is from RNAcentral.
UACGUAGGGUCCAAGCGUUAUUCGGAAUGACUGGGCGUAAAGGGCGUGUAGGUGGCUCGAGAAGUCUGGCGUCAAAUCUCUUGGCUUAACCAAGAGCUCGCGUUGGAAACCAUCGAGCUUGAGUCCUGCAGGGGUAAGCGGAAUUCCGAGUGUAGAGGUGAAAUUCGUAGAUAUUCGGAAGAACACCAGUGGCGAAGGCGACUUACUGGACACAUAUUGACGCUGAGGUGCGAAAGCGUGGGGAGCAAACAGG